AUAGCUAUAGUAUAAUGGUAAUACACUAUGCUUCUAACAUAGAAUAUGAGAGUUCGAAUCUUCUAGCUAUU
Molecule: transfer RNA, 71 nt
Filed under: Pseudozyma flocculosa
Lineage: Eukaryota; Fungi; Basidiomycota; Ustilaginomycetes; Ustilaginales; Ustilaginaceae
Rfam family: tRNA
About the family: Transfer RNA (tRNA) molecules are approximately 80 nucleotides in length. Their secondary structure includes four short double-helical elements and three loops (D, anti-codon, and T loops).
Source: Rfam by way of RNAcentral